Molecule: ribosomal RNA, 497 nt
Filed under: uncultured bacterium
Lineage: Bacteria
Description: bacterial SSU rRNA
Rfam family: Bacterial small subunit ribosomal RNA
Source: RNAcentral
AUUGAACGCUGGCGGCAUGCCUAACACAUGCAAGUCGAACGGAGGUAGGGGCAACUCUACUUCAGUGGCGGACGGGUGAGGAAUGCGUCGGAAUCUACCCUAUGGUGGGGGAUAACACAGGGAAACUUGUGCUAAUACCGCAUAAUGUCGAGAGACCAAAGCAGGGGACCGCAAGGCCUUGCGCGAUAGGAUGAGCCGACGCCCGAUUAGCUAGUUGGUAGGGUAAAGGCCUACCAAGGCGACGAUCGGUAGCUGGUCUGAGAGGAUGAUCAGCCACACUGGAACUGAGACACGGUCCAGACUCCUACGGGAGGCAGCAGUAGGGAAUAUUGGACAAUGGGGGCGAACCCUGAUCCAGCCAUGCCGCGUGAGUGAAGAAGGCCCUCGGGUUGUAAAGCUCUUUUGUCCGGAAAGAAAAGCAAUCGGUUAAUACCCGGUUGUUCUGACGGUACCGGAAGAAUAAGCACCGGCUAACUUCGUGCCAGCAGCCGCGGUAA